UACGUAGGGGGCAAGCGUUGUCCGGAAUUAUUGGGCGUAAAGAGCGUGUAGGCGGCCAGAUAAGUCCGCUGUGAAAUCUCGAGGCUCAACUUCGAGCUGUCGGUGGAAACUAUCGGGCUAGAGUCCGGAAGAGGAGAAUGGAAUUCCUGGUGUAGCGGUGAAAUGCGCAGAUAUCAGGAAGAACACCCGUGGCGAAGGCGGUUCUCUGGGACGGUACUGACGCUGAGAUGCGAAAGCGUGGGGAGCGAACAGG
Molecule: ribosomal RNA, 253 nt
Filed under: uncultured bacterium
Lineage: Bacteria
Description: partial 16S ribosomal RNA
Rfam family: Bacterial small subunit ribosomal RNA
Source: RNAcentral